GUGGGAGGAAGCUCAUUGUAGAGGUCACAAACUGAGUGCUCGUCACUCUACCAAUCACCUCGGGGAAGGUCUGAGACAGGAGCCAAUAGUUACCCUUGCAGGGUAUCACCUGACAAAGGUGAGCGAGUGAACAGAAAUAAUUGGUCUGCGCUUGCAUGUCUCACAGGAGAAGCCAGGGGGAGCAACUUCCCAGCUCGCCUGGUGGAUGUGGUGCUAGUCGCGGCUUGGAAUCACUCGCGGCUGGCGAAUGAGUGCGAUGUAUGAGGUGGGGCACAGCUCCAGAACCCAAUUCAGACUACUCUCCCCCCAC
Ribozyme from Gambusia affinis (western mosquitofish), 310 nucleotides. It matches the Rfam family "Nuclear RNase P". Rfam says of the family: Ribonuclease P (RNase P) is a ubiquitous endoribonuclease, found in archaea, bacteria and eukarya as well as chloroplasts and mitochondria. Its best characterised activity is the generation of mature 5'-ends of tRNAs by cleaving the 5'-leader elements of precursor-tRNAs. Cellular RNase Ps are ribonucleoproteins. NCBI's taxonomy places the organism in Eukaryota, Metazoa, Chordata, Actinopteri, Cyprinodontiformes, Poeciliidae. The record is from Ensembl.